This 346-nucleotide ribosomal RNA is filed under the name uncultured bacterium. RNAcentral's name for it is "partial 16S ribosomal RNA". It matches the Rfam family "Bacterial small subunit ribosomal RNA", at positions 338 to 699 of the family's 1533-position model. The record is from RNAcentral.
CCUACGGGAGGCAGCAGUGAGGAAUCUUGGACAAUGGGCGAGAGCCUGAUGGAGCAAAGCCGCGUGCAGGAUGAAGGCCUUCGGGUUGUUAACUGCCUUUAUAAGCGAGAUAUAGGGUGGUAAGUUAUGAAUAUGGAACGUCUAACUACGUGCAAGCAGCCGCGGUCAUACGUCGGAUACGAGCAUUAUCCGGAGUUACUGGGGGUUAAGCGGGGCGUAGGGGGGAUAAUAAGUAGCGAGUGAAAUCUCGUGGCUGAACCAUUCGGAGUAUUGGCUAAACUGUGAAGCUCGAGAAUGUUAGAGGUAAGCGGAAUUCGUGGUGUAGCGGUGAAAUGCUUAGAUAUUA